AUGAAUGAUGACUUUUGGGAAAGUCAGCAUUCAAAUUAUCCACUCUUCACCCCGCUACAACAAAUUCCUCAGUCCCCUGCACCAACAGUUCAAAUGGGCUCUGAAGAAACUCAUCCCACCUCGUCUGUGCGUGAAGACAUUCCAGCCACUAGUGCUGAAGAAACUGCUGCUGCUGAUCAUGUGACAACACAGACUGCACCUGAAGAGGAACCAGAAAUUCCUCAGACUGAUGAACCUGAGAUUGCGAUUCCUGAGGUCGUGAUGCAACUCACUAACACUCCUCUGCCAAAGCCAAAGGAUCCGUUCUCAAGGAAGCAAAAAUUCAAGGCUGAAGACUUCUUUGGCGAGCAUGUAUUCUUCACAGAUUACAACCCCUAUGACUCUGCUAGCAUAAGGAAGAGACAUUUUUGGACUGCUAGUCAAGCAAAUUUCUAUUCCAUAGUGCUGUUUAACAAAGACAAAGUCUUCGAUCAUGCACAUAUUCCUCACGCGGACAUGGAGUCUCUGCCGUGCUUCGAGCCAGUCCUCAGUGUUCUUCAUGAUGCUGGGCUGCUAAACUUCUGCACUGACAUCUGUGAUUGGAAUGAAGAACUCAUUCUUCAGUUCUAUGCAACGCUGCAGAUCACAGGAGAUUCUAAAGAUGUGAACUCAUGGGUACUGGACUGGAUGAAAGAAAAUACUCAUUACAAGGCACCAGCUUCUGAAUUGCUUCGUGCCCUACCACUCAGUCCUCCCCUUGAAGGUGCACGUUGUGUCUAUAGUGAACAUGAGCUUACAAAUCACUACAUGCAAGUUUUGAUGAAGCCUUGA
This 810-nucleotide ribosomal RNA is filed under the name Triticum aestivum (bread wheat). RNAcentral describes it as "partial small subunit ribosomal RNA". The record is from RNAcentral. Lineage: Eukaryota; Viridiplantae; Streptophyta; Magnoliopsida; Poales; Poaceae.